RNAcentral lists this long non-coding RNA (573 nucleotides) under Homo sapiens (human). Its description in RNAcentral is "non-protein coding lnc-RTN1-2:2". The record is from RNAcentral. Lineage: Eukaryota; Metazoa; Chordata; Mammalia; Primates; Hominidae.
CUUCCUUGUUCUGCUCUGGUUGACUGGGGGAGAGGUGGUUUUGAUAAGAGGGUGACAUCGUUCAUUAGGGUCUAACAAGUGGCACUGUGAUAAAAUGAUUAAUGAAUUUGAAAAUACCCGUGAAGUAAAGAGAAUGGAGACUUAUCAAAAGAAGAAAGAAUUGGAUAAAUUACAAACUAAAAUGUCAAAAAUAAAAGAAACAGUUACUGUUUCCGCAGCGGUUCUUAGUGAUCACAAUUUAGAGAUAGCACGACUACACGAAUCAAUAAGGUAUUGGGAACAAGAGGUCAGUGAGCUAAAGAAAGACCUUGCAAUUCUGGAGGCGAAACUAUAACAAAGAAAAACUAGAUGAUAUAUCUAAUGAUGAAAAAAAUGAAUUCCUGAACAAGAUAAAACAGAAAUCAGAAACAGCUGACAUUUAUUUCUCAGAAAGAAUACUUUCUGUCACAAAAGAGAGUAGACAUCAAAAAUAUGGAAGAAGGACUCAUCACACUCCAGGAACUUCAACAAGCAACAAAAACAGUGUAUCAGCAACAAAUCAAAAUCCUGAGUGCUAACCUGGAAAGAGAAAGU